This 920-nucleotide ribosomal RNA is filed under the name Paenarthrobacter nicotinovorans. RNAcentral's name for it is "bacterial SSU rRNA". It matches the Rfam family "Bacterial small subunit ribosomal RNA", at positions 36 to 969 of the family's 1533-position model. The record is from RNAcentral. Lineage: Bacteria; Bacillati; Actinomycetota; Actinomycetes; Micrococcales; Micrococcaceae.
CUGGCGGCGUGCUUAACACAUGCAAGUCGAACGAUGAUCCCAGCUUGCUGGGGGAUUAGUGGCGAACGGGUGAGUAACACGUGAGUAACCUGCCCUUGACUCUGGGAUAAGCCUGGGAAACUGGGUCUAAUACCGGAUAUGACUCCUCAUCGCAUGGUGGGGGGUGGAAAGCUUUUGUGGUUUUGGAUGGACUCGCGGCCUAUCAGCUUGUUGGUGGGGUAAUGGCCUACCAAGGCGACGACGGGUAGCCGGCCUGAGAGGGUGACCGGCCACACUGGGACUGAGACACGGCCCAGACUCCUACGGGAGGCAGCAGUGGGGAAUAUUGCACAAUGGGCGCAAGCCUGAUGCAGCGACGCCGCGUGAGGGAUGACGGCCUUCGGGUUGUAAACCUCUUUCAGUAGGGAAGAAGCGUAAGUGACGGUACCUGCAGAAGAAGCGCCGGCUAACUACGUGCCAGCAGCCGCGGUAAUACGUAGGGCGCAAGCGUUAUCCGGAAUUAUUGGGCGUAAAGAGCUCGUAGGCGGUUUGUCGCGUCUGCUGUGAAAGACCGGGGCUCAACUCCGGUUCUGCAGUGGGUACGGGCAGACUAGAGUGCAGUAGGGGAGACUGGAAUUCCUGGUGUAGCGGUGAAAUGCGCAGAUAUCAGGAGGAACACCGAUGGCGAAGGCAGGUCUCUGGGCUGUAACUGACGCUGAGGAGCGAAAGCAUGGGGAGCGAACAGGAUUAGAUACCCUGGUAGUCCAUGCCGUAAACGUUGGGCACUAGGUGUGGGGGACAUUCCACGUUUUCCGCGCCGUAGCUAACGCAUUAAGUGCCCCGCCUGGGGAGUACGGCCGCAAGGCUAAAACUCAAAGGAAUUGACGGGGGCCCGCACAAGCGGCGGAGCAUGCGGAUUAAUUCGAUGCAACGCGAAGAAC